UGGGGAAUAUUGCACAAUGGGCGCAAGCCUAAUGCAGCGACGCCGCGUGAGGGAUGGAGGCCUUCGGGUUGUGAACCUCUUUCGCCAGUGAAGCAGGCCUGCUCCUUUUUUGUGGGUGGGUUGACGGUAGCUGGAUAAGAAGCGCCGGCUAACUACGUGCCAGCAGCCGCGUUAAUACGUAGGGCGCGAGCGUUGUCCGGAAUUAUUGGGCGUAAAGAGCUCGUAGGCGGCUGGUCGCGUCUGUCGUGAAAUCCUCUGGCUUAACUGGGGGCUUGCGGUGGGUACGGGCCGGCUGGAGUGCGGUAGGGGAGGCUGGAACUCCUGGUGUAGCGGUGGAAUGCGCAGAUAUCAGGAAGAACACCGGUGGCGAAGGCGGGUCUCUGGGCCGUUACUGACGCUGAGGAGCGAAAGCGUGGGGAGCGAACA
This 426-nucleotide ribosomal RNA is filed under the name uncultured Actinomycetes bacterium. Its description in RNAcentral is "bacterial SSU rRNA". It matches the Rfam family "Bacterial small subunit ribosomal RNA", at positions 355 to 774 of the family's 1533-position model. The record is from RNAcentral. Lineage: Bacteria; Bacillati; Actinomycetota; Actinomycetes.